GGAAUCUUCGGCAAUGGACGAAAGUCUGACCGAGCAACGCCGCGUGAGUGAAGAAGGUUUUCGGAUCGUAAAACUCUGUUGGUAGAGAAGAACGUUGGUGAGAGUGGAAAGCUCAUCAAGUGACGGUAACUACCCAGAAAGGGACGGCUAACUACGUGCCAGCAGCCGCGGUAAUACGUAGGUCCCGAGCGUUGUCCGGAUUUAUUGGGCGUAAAGCGAGCGCAGGUGGUUUAUUAAGUCUGGUGUAAAAGGCAGUGGCUCAACCAUUGUAUGCAUUGGAAACUGGUAGACUUGAGUGCAGGAGAGGAGAGUGGAAUUCCAUGUGUAGCGGUGAAAUGCGUAGAUAUAUGGAGGAACACCGGUGGCGAAAGCGGCUCUCUGGCCUGUAACUGACACUGAGGCUCGAAAGCGUGGGGAGCAAACA
Molecule: ribosomal RNA, 424 nt
Filed under: uncultured Lactococcus sp.
Lineage: Bacteria; Bacillati; Bacillota; Bacilli; Lactobacillales; Streptococcaceae
Description: bacterial SSU rRNA
Rfam family: Bacterial small subunit ribosomal RNA
Source: RNAcentral